Molecule: long non-coding RNA, 296 nt
Filed under: Prunus persica (peach)
Lineage: Eukaryota; Viridiplantae; Streptophyta; Magnoliopsida; Rosales; Rosaceae
Description: long non-coding RNA (PPER_LNC008634)
Source: RNAcentral
GAGGAGUCAUUUGGUGGGUUUUGAGUGAAAUACAAUCGCUAGAACUAUACAGUACACCAGCCACUCCAUUUCAGAACGAACUUCGUAUGAACCUGAAUUGUCCGAUUUCAAGGACCAAUCGAUAUCGGAUUGAGUCCAAAACUUGGGGAACAUCAUAAUAUUGUGGGAGGAGUCAUUUGGUGGGUUUUUAGUGAAAUCCAAUCUCUAGAACAAUACAAUACACCACUCACCCCAUUUCAGAACGAACUUCGUACGAACCUGAAUUGUCCGAUUUCAAGGACCAAUCGAUACCGGAU